GCUUAACACAUGCAAGUCGAACGGGCUCUUCGGAGCUAGUGGCGGACGGGUGAGUAACGCGUGAGAAUCUGCCUUCAGGAGGGGGAUAACGACUGGAAACGGGCGCGGAUACCCCAUAUGCCUCCGGGUGAAAAGUAAUUCGCCUGAAGAUGAGCUCGCGUCAGAUUAGCUAGUUGGUGGGGUAAGAGCCUACCAAGGCGACGAUCUGUAGCUGGUCUGAGAGGAUGAUCAGCCACACUGGGACUGAGACACGGCCCAGACUCCUACGGGAGGCAGCAGUGGGGAAUUUUCCGCAAUGGGCGCAAGCCUGACGGAGCAAGACCGCGUGGGGGAUGACGGCCUAAUGGUUGUAAACCCCUUUUCUCUGGGAAGAAGACUGACGGUACCAGAGGAAUCAGCCUCGGCUAACUCCGUGCCAGCAGCCGCGGUAAUACGGAGGAGGCAAGCGUUAUCCGGAAUUAUUGGGCGUAAAGCGUCCGUAGGUGGUUAUUCAAGUCUGCUGUCAAAGCGUGGGGCUUAACUCCAUAGAGGCAGUGGAAAACUGAGUGACUAGAGUGCGGUAGGGGUCGAGGGAAUUCCCAGUGUAGCGGUGAAAUGCGUAGAUAUUGGGAAGAACACCAGUGGCGAAAGCGCUCGACUGGGCCUGCACUGACACUGAGGGACGAAAGCUAGGGGAGCGAAAGGGAUUAGAUACCCCUGUAGUCCUAGCCGUAAACGAUGGAUUACUAGGUGUUGCUCGUCAUCGACCCGAGCAGUGCCGUAGCCAACGGCGUUAAGUAUCCCGC
This 785-nucleotide ribosomal RNA is filed under the name uncultured organism. RNAcentral describes it as "bacterial SSU rRNA". It matches the Rfam family "Bacterial small subunit ribosomal RNA", at positions 46 to 872 of the family's 1533-position model. The record is from RNAcentral.